This is a long non-coding RNA of Bos indicus x Bos taurus (hybrid cattle), 2312 nucleotides long. NCBI's taxonomy places the organism in Eukaryota, Metazoa, Chordata, Mammalia, Artiodactyla, Bovidae. The record is from Ensembl.
AUAACCACACGACUCUUCCGAUCUGCCUUUCCGUGGUUCUGAAUAAACCUCCAUGAUGCCUUCUCUUCCAGAAGUCUGUCUCUUAUGGGAGGUGGAUAUUGAAAUGACACUUCUGGUCAUUUUUUUCCUUGAAUGAGGGGCUGAAUCCAAGCUUGAACACUCAAACUCAGGUUCCUUUGAGGGGCUGUGAUUGGAGUCUGGAAAAAGCUGGAGAACAGAGACUCGGUGUGGAAGACUCAAGUAUUCACAGCGUUCCACGGAGUGGAGUUAGAAGUCUGGUUUUGACAGCCUGAAUCACUCCAGUUUCUUUCCCCAAAGACCUGUUUUUUUCCUUUCAACCUGUGCGGCUUCCCUCCCACCCCACCCCACCCCACCCCACCCCACCCCCACCCCCAGGAAAUACACAGAAGUUUAUCAUCUAAGGAAACACACUUUGUUCCGAGGCACAGUAUUUCUGGAAAACCCCAGCAAUUGGGAGGGAUGGCUAGUUUCAGCUGAAAACAGUUCCUUAAACUUUCAGGUCCAGACAGUAUCUAGAAUUAGACAAUCAAGGUACUGCCUACAAGGAAAUCUUGCUUUGAUGAAUACAGGAGAUAAAAACAACCAAUCGGUUGCGUGAAUUGGAUUGAUUCUGAAAUAAGGUGGGACUAGAACCUCGCACACAGUAGGGCUCUUAAACCGCACUCCUUUCUUUUUGAUGUGCUUUAGGGGGCUUGGCAGUGGUUUGUUUUCUUAGGAAGAUUAAAUGUUCCAGAACAGUUCUGCCACUGCUGUGAAUUAACUAAGAGAAUAAUUUUUCAGUAAAGAGUUCAAAAGGUUAAAUUCUAGCCCAGCUUUCCCGAGAUGGCGGGUUCCUGUUAGUGACGUUCUCUUGUGCUGUCUUCUCUUCCAUUGAUCUCCUCUCCUUUCCUUCAAAUCACCUGUUUUUGUUUGAAAAGCAGCCCAGAUCUUUCAGUCCUUUAUUUAGAUGGGGUAGAAUGAAAACAAUCCAUGUCAGACAAUAGAUUGGGUGACCUGUUUAUAGAAUGUCCACCGGGUGAAGACUCUGGAGAGGAAACACAAAGGAGAGAAGGAACUCACAAUCAAUUGCUACCAUCCGAGAUGUUUGCAGUCCAGGGAAGGGGGAUAUGGCCCUGGAAGCGUAGCCCCGAUGAAGCUGUGGGUGACAUGCAGAGGAUGUGGGGCUUGACUUUGGAAAACCAGCCACCUGCCAGCUCUGUGACCCUGGAAAGAGGACGAGAGCUACCAAAGCAAACACAAAACAGAAACAAAUCUUUGGUGUCCCAAACCACAGUAAGAUAUCACUUCGUACUCAUUAGGAUGGCCAUUAAAUGCAUAUACACAUAAUGAAAAGAAGUGCUGACAUGGAUAUGGAGAAACUGGAACCCUUGUGUACUGCUCGUGGGACUGUAGAAUGAUGGAAGUGCUAUAGAAAGCAGUAUGGAAGUUCCUUAAAAAAUUAAAAAUAGAAUCACCAUAAGAUUCAGCCAUUUCAUCUCUGAGUAUAUAUCCCGAAGAACCGAAAGCAGGGCCUGCCACUCACAUACAGCCAUGUUUGCAGCAGCAUUACCGACAAGGGAUCUAUCCCUACAAAGGUAGGGAUAGAAUCGGACACGACUGAAGUGACUUAGCAGCAGCAGCAGGGAUAAUCCAAGUGUCGGUCAUCAACAGAAGAAUAGAUAAGCAAAGUGUGGUGGAUACAUACAAUGAAACAUUACUCGGCCUUUAAAAGGAAGAAAAUUCUGACAUAUGCUCUAGUGUGGAUAAACCUUGAGGACACUAUGCUGCAUGAAACAAGUUCUAUCACAGAAGGACAAAUACUGCCUAAUUCCACUUACACGUGGUACCUGGAGUAAUCAAGGUCAUAGAGGCCAAGUAGAAUGGUGGUUGUCAAGAGAGAGAGGGAGGAGAAAGAGGGAGUCAAAGUUUAGUGGCUACAGAGUUUCAGUCUGGGGAGAGGAAAAGAGUUCUGGAGACAGAUGAUGGUGAAGGUGGAACACAGUGGCGAUGUACAAUGGCUAAGACGAUGAAUUCCACAUGAUGAGCAUCUGAUCACACAUGUACACACGUCCGUGACUUCCAGCAAGGAGGGCGUGGCACUUCUUCACACACAGCUCCCUGUCCCGCGCCCCGCUUCUCUGGCUCGGUCCCAUCAGGGGGCACUGGACGCUGGGUGGAGGGGAGACUCCCCUCCCCUGGGCACCCCCGGAGGGGCCUUCCUGACUCAGGUACGCAGGCAGCUCCGGGCACUCAGGCUCAGAGGAAGUUCAUCCGAAAAUAAAAGCCAUCCUUCAGGAGUCUGUAUGGAUUGA